ACCCCCUCCCCUCCCGUGCCAAGGCGGCAACUUUCUCAUCGCAAUGUGAGGCUGGAACCCCCUUUCCCCAAUCCUGUCCCUCUCCUUCUUUCCUGCACUGCCAGGCCUGGGGCAGAAUUUUCCUCUCCCAGCGGCUCUGUGGCUCUGGUCCUGGCUGCAGUGUCUUUGAGCCUCUCCUGCUCCGGAGCCCUGGAGUCCUCACCACUGUCCUCUGGAGCUGGGCCCCUCCUCCCCGCGACCUCACAGCCUCCUUUGUGCUUCUGGCUCAGAUGGGGUGUGGGGGAGGGUGUGGAAAGACCCAGCAUAGGUGGGUGGGGGUGGGGAGGGGAGGGGUCUGGAGGGGGAGGGCACACAGGUGUCCACCAGGGAGAGGCCCAGAAGAGGAUCUGGGACAGUGGCCCAGCCUGCAGGGUGGUGACAAGGUGUGACCUGCCCAGGGCACUGGGGGUACUGGGAACAGGUCAGUGGGUCUGGGGAGAAAAUGAUACUGAUGGUAGGGAGGUUAGAGGGUUCCGGGGCCCCAGCCUGGCUGGGGACAACAGCAGGGGAUCUACACCGGGAUGUGUGGGUGACUGCACGUGCAGGACCGUGCGCGUAACCGUGAAAGUAGACUGUAGGUACGUAGGCAACUUUGUGUGUGGUGUGUGUGCCCAUGUGACCCUGUGUGUGGCCAUGUGUGUGCCCGUGUGCGCGCGCACGCACGCACGCGCGUGCCCAGGCUUGGCCGGUCCUCCCAGCCCCUCCUCCCAGAAGGCAGGAGGGAGGCGGCCAGCACGGGGACGGUGCCAGCGCUGGAGGAGGAAAUGCCGCGCGGAAGCGGCCCGGAAACAGCGGAGGCUCCAUCCCAUCCCAGUGAUCCGGGAAGGACCCGCCGCUCCACACCCAGACCUCCUGGGCCGUGCCGGGGAGACCCGGCCCCUCAGCGGAGGCCAAGGCCGAGGCCGCCCGGGCAGAGGCCUCCUCCAGGCGCUGCACAUCUGGCUGGGCGGGAGGCAGACCCUGCUGGGAGAGCAGACAAAGGCCCGCCCGCGGCCUGCGGGAGGAGGGGGCCGGCGCCCCGGCGGGUCCCCCUCAACUAGCCACUAA
Molecule: long non-coding RNA, 1086 nt
Filed under: Ursus thibetanus thibetanus
Lineage: Eukaryota; Metazoa; Chordata; Mammalia; Carnivora; Ursidae
Description: lncRNA (ENSUTTG00000019740.1)
Source: RNAcentral